GACGAACGCUGGCGGCGUGCCUAAUACAUGCAAGUUGAGCGCUGAAGGUUGGUACUUGUACCAACUGGAUGAGCAGCGAACGGGUGAGUAACGCGUGGGGAAUCUGCCUUUGAGCGGGGGACAACAUUUGGAAACGAAUGCUAAUACCGCAUAAAAGCUUUAAACACAAGUUUUAAGUUUGAAAGAUGCAAUUGCAUCACUCAAAGAUGAUCCCGCGUUGUAUUAGCUAGUUGGUGAGGUAAAGGCUCACCAAGGCGAUGAUACAUAGCCGACCUGAGAGGGUGAUCGGCCACAUUGGGACGGAGACACGGCCCAAACUCCUACGGGAGGCAGCAGUAGGGAAUCUUCGGCAAGGGACGAAAGUCUGACCGAGCAACGCCGCGGGAGUGAAGAAGGUUUUCGGAUCGUAAAACUCUGUUGGUAGAGAAGAACGUUGGUGAGAGUGGAAAGCUCAUCAAGUGACGGUAACUACCCAGAAAGGGACGGCUAACUACGUG
RNAcentral lists this ribosomal RNA (497 nucleotides) under uncultured bacterium. RNAcentral's name for it is "partial 16S ribosomal RNA". It matches the Rfam family "Bacterial small subunit ribosomal RNA", at positions 28 to 507 of the family's 1533-position model. The record is from RNAcentral.